GUAUUUAGAAUUAUGUUAUUCAAAAUAGCUUAAGACAAAAAAAUUAAAGUAAAGGUUGGUAUUAUGCUGACGUGACGCGUGAACGACGCGUCAGCAAACAUUGCACACAAGGUGAGUACUUGUUUAAAAAGUGCAGUAGAACACUUAUUAUGAAUGAUCCUUCCGCAGGUUCACCUACGGAAA
Molecule: unclassified non-coding RNA, 183 nt
Filed under: uncultured fungus
Lineage: Eukaryota; Fungi
Description: sequence contains ITS1
Source: RNAcentral